Long non-coding RNA from Notolabrus celidotus (New Zealand spotty), 1392 nucleotides. RefSeq lists it as uncharacterized. The record is from RefSeq and is a predicted model, not a curated record. Lineage: Eukaryota; Metazoa; Chordata; Actinopteri; Labriformes; Labridae. The transcript has 2 exons.
GUGUCCCACUCAGCUGCUCUCAGCUGCAGCCAAUCGGCUAAUUGGGCAGGCUAUAAAGCUGGCAGAAGUGUGCUCUGCAGGGGAAGAGGAGGCUGUGCUGCCUCAAGCAUGUGCAUAAUAUAAAUGUAAUUAUGAGUUAAUUUGCCUUACUUUUCUUUAUAUUUUGUUGAUUUUGAUGAGUUGACACAUGUCCUUAAAAACACUGUAAAUAAAUACUCACUACUGGGAAAAGAGACGUCUGCAGUGUUGCCUUCCUACAACCUUCCUCGACACUUGAGCCUGACUACACUACAGUCCUACAAAAGACAUGAUUUUAAAUUGGCUGAAGUCGAUGAAGAAAGGUCCUGAAUCUCCAAAUGAAAAAAAUAUCCACAUAAACAUGCAAAUCAGCAGUCUGCUCCUUUAAAAAUGCACUGCUGGUGACAUUUGGACACCCACAUCAGUCCUCCAGGGUAACUCUUCAUGUGAGCAGUCAUGUCUCCUCACUGUGCUGCUAAGUGUUCAGAUGUGGACUCUGUGUUGGUGCUCUGGAUGAAGACAGAUAAAACGUCCCUCAGUCGUCCAAACAGCUCUGCACGCUGAUUAUCACGGCACUCAGAGGCCUCGGGCUCAGAUUUAACAACCUCAGCAGGAGCCGCUGCCUGCAGCUCUCGGUCCUGAAACAAGGAGAACCCUCUGCUGCAAUGUUGACAUCUGCUGGCUGCAGAGCUGCAGCACAGGACAACAUGAGACCAGGAACCUGCUGGUUUAUAGUAGUAUCCAAAACACAACAAUAGACUCAUGGGAGUAGGGUACUGGGACAAGAGAUUUCACAGAAAGCAGAUAAAAUCGAAUGAGGAAACAAUUUAAACAAUUAUUUUUAAAAAUUGGGUGGACUAAUUAAUCACUGAUUAUUCUCACAAGCACUGUGGAUUCAAAUUUGGUCAGAUCAUUUAAUUAAUAAGGGUUAAAAAUAAUGAAUUAAAGAAAAAAUAUUUGUACUUCACUUUUUUAAUGUGGAGGAACAUUUGGGAACACUCGUGUAAAGGAUAAUGUACAUCCAUUUAGCCACUGUAGCGGAACUAAGCCCCAUGCAGGACCCCGACACAGAGCAAAGGGGAGCUGUAUCACCCCAAGGGUGAUGACGUACAACAGAGCUCAGCAGCUGUAUGCAGCAUUAACUGUUCUCUUACAAUAUUUUAAUGUGUGUAAUGAACCUCUGAGAAAACACAGUUUGUUUAACAGGUUUAACAGACAGCAUUGGCAAAAUAUUAUUUCAUAGAAUUAUGGCUAUCAUUUUUCAUGCUUUCCACUCUGGAUCUUGCUGUCGUGCGUGUGUUAUGUCUUGGGGUAUGAAUAUAUAAAUGUUUCAUGUGAUCAUGAUACGACUUUUAAACAGAGUAAACCAAUGUA